GUUCAUUGUAAAAAUAUACUGCCAAUAAUCCCAUUUGAUAACUUUUCUGACGGAAAUGGAUCGACGAAUUUAAAAAAGUAGAAGAAGUGCCAUUCAGUCAGACAUUGCACGCACCUGUCUGGCUCCAGGUAAAUAACUAACAGUUUUUAGUGUAAUUAAUAAGUCAAGAUAUAGCCAGGGUCAAAAAAUAUUGGUGGGCAGCAACUGAUAUUCGUUCCCUUAGAGUUUUGUUUUUGUUUAUUAGUAUUUUGCAGCCUAU
Paramuricea clavata is the source of this 259-nucleotide non-coding RNA. The record is from the annotation of a GenBank genome assembly. Lineage: Eukaryota; Metazoa; Cnidaria; Anthozoa; Malacalcyonacea; Plexauridae.